RNAcentral lists this ribosomal RNA (454 nucleotides) under uncultured Clostridium sp. Its description in RNAcentral is "bacterial SSU rRNA". It matches the Rfam family "Bacterial small subunit ribosomal RNA", at positions 923 to 1382 of the family's 1533-position model. Lineage: Bacteria; Bacillati; Bacillota; Clostridia; Eubacteriales; Clostridiaceae. The record is from RNAcentral.
GCACAAGCAGCGGAGCAUGUGGUUUAAUUUCGAAGCAACGCGAAGAACCUUACCUAGACUUGACAUCUCCUGAAUUACCUUAACCGGGAAGCCCUUCGGGCAGGAAGACAGGUGGUGCAUGGUUGUCGUCAGCUCGUGUCGUGAGAUGUUGGGUUAAGUCCCGCAACGAGCGCAACCCUUAUUUUUAGUUGCUACCAUUUGGUUGAGCACUCUAAAGAGACUGCCCGGGUUAACCGGGAGGAAGGUGGGGAUGACGUCAAAUCAUCAUGCCCCUUAUGUCUAGGGCUACACACGUGCUACAAUGGUGAGAACAAAGAGACGCGAGACCGCGAGGUGGAGCAAAUCUCAUAAAACUCAUCCCAGUUCGGAUUGCAGGCUGAAACUCGCCUGCAUGAAGCCGGAGUUGCUAGUAAUCGCGAAUCAGCAUGUCGCGGUGAAUACGUUCCCGGGCCUU